This 245-nucleotide ribosomal RNA is filed under the name uncultured bacterium. RNAcentral describes it as "partial 16S ribosomal RNA". It matches the Rfam family "Bacterial small subunit ribosomal RNA", at positions 524 to 767 of the family's 1533-position model. The record is from RNAcentral.
AACAGAACCCGCGAGCGUUAUCCGGAUUUAUUGGGCGUAAAGUGUUCGUAGGCGGCAUGGAAAGUCCGGUUUUAAACUCCUCGGGCUCAACCUGGGGACUGAACUGGAAACUUCCAAGCUAGAAGGCGCUAGGGGCUGUCGGAACGCACGGUGUAGGGGUGAAAUCCGUUGAUAUCGUGCGGAACACCAAAAGCGAAGGCAGACAGCUGGGGCGACCUUGACGCUGAGGAACGAAAGCGUGGGGA